This 1075-nucleotide long non-coding RNA is filed under the name Gadus morhua (Atlantic cod). RNAcentral describes it as "lncRNA (ENSGMOG00000030072.1)". Lineage: Eukaryota; Metazoa; Chordata; Actinopteri; Gadiformes; Gadidae. The record is from RNAcentral.
AUGAAGCCACGCCCAUAUCAUGUGCGUCACGGACGGUGUUGCCAGAUUGGGGCAUAUGUCACGCAGAAUGAGGCAACCCUGGACACGGACCAACGGUCUGCGCCGACAGCAGAGGACCAGAAUACCGGAGGAGACGCGACGUGGUUUUAUUACCGACGAGCUGUGUGUUCGGAGGUUCCCUCGCCGGAAGCACACAGACAGGAAUGGGGGCCCGGUCCGAUCUCUGGAAUGGGAGAGCGCUCAUUGGGGGAGAACGAGGAGGAUGUGAGGCAGCCCAUUUCGGUCUCUGAUUGGUGGAGGGCAAGGCAGGGCGUGGACCCCCCCCUCUCUGUCUGUCUGUCUGUCUGUCUGUCUGUCUGUCUGUCUGUCUGUCUGUCUGUCUGUCUGUCUGCCUGCCUGCCUGCCUGCCUGCCUGCCUGCCUGCCUGCCUGCCUGCCUGCCUGCCUGUCUGCCUGUCUGUGUGAUCCUAAACACCUUGGAGACCGACGUCAGUGCGUCUCCAAUGUAUCAGGAGCAGGAUUACAGUUUAUCAAUUGUACGUUUGAAUAACCGUUCCUCUAUGGUGAGGAGAUGAUAACACUCUGUUAUGGUGGAGCACAAAGUGAUAAAACAUCCAGGCUGUCUGACAGCUGGAGAGAAACUAGUACUAAACUUUCAGGCGAGUUUGAACCCGACUCAAAUGCCAACGUUUUAACAUUAAUAAAGCGCUAAGCUUUAAAGGUUGGGUAUGGAAUUCGCUUUUUUGGCCAUUUUUGCAAAAUUACUUGAAAUCCUUAUCAUAACCCACUUACAGCCACUGAGUUAGAAGUACUGACAUGAACGUUAAACAAGUCAAUCAUCUUUGGAACGGGCAGGGCUCGAAAAACUCCAGCCAAUGAUUUCCAGAGCCACCGAGUUGCAUUGGACAGUAAGUACGUCAAUCAAACGGUCGUACUGCACUCCCCCUCCCCCCGUGCCCCGCGCGCGACCCCUUCGUGCAGUACUCGUGACCUAGAGCAAGCUCCUGUUUGUUGUUAUCCUGCGGUAGCUACUGGAACUAGUUAAUCCACAUUUGGACCUAGCAGUAGAAGACAAU